This 492-nucleotide ribosomal RNA is filed under the name uncultured bacterium. RNAcentral's name for it is "partial 16S ribosomal RNA". It matches the Rfam family "Bacterial small subunit ribosomal RNA", at positions 29 to 507 of the family's 1533-position model. The record is from RNAcentral.
AGUGAACGCUGGCGGUAGGCCUAACACAUGCAAGUCGAACGGCAGCACAGUAAGAGCUUGCUCUUACGGGUGGCGAGUGGCGGACGGGUGAGGAAUACAUCGGAAUCUACUUUUUCGUGGGGGAUAACGUAGGGAAACUUACGCUAAUACCGCAUACGACCUACGGGUGAAAGCAGGGGAUCUUCGGACCUUGCGCGAUUGAAUGAGCCGAUGUCGGAUUAGCUAGUUGGCGGGGUAAAGGCCCACCAAGGCGACGAUCCGUAGCUGGUCUGAGAGGAUGAUCAGCCACACUGGAACUGAGACACGGUCCAGACUCCUACGGGGGGCAGCAGUGGGGAAUAUUGGACAAUGGGCGCAAGCCUGAUCCAGCCAUACCGCGUGGGUGAAGAAGGCCUUCGGGUUGUAAAGCCCUUUUGUUGGGAAAGAAAAGCAGCAGGUUAAUACCCAGCUGUUCUGACGGUACCCAAAGAAUAAGCACCGGCUAACUUCGUG